GUCACACGAUCGUUAGUGAAAUCAUAUUGCCGCCCGAUUUCCGCCAAGCCGCGGCCCUGCUGGGCUGCGAGAGAUGAUACUUGCGUUGGCCCGGUCUUGUCGGCGUCGGAUUCCUCAGCCCCCAGCCCCCCGGGGUCUUCAGGAUCGGGCCUGUUCGCAACAAUCAAUCCCCACACUGAGGGCCAACGCGAGUUGGUCCUUUU
RNAcentral lists this small RNA (203 nucleotides) under Rhodopseudomonas palustris BisB18. Its description in RNAcentral is "Bradyrhizobiaceae sRNA BjrC174". It matches the Rfam family "Bradyrhizobiaceae sRNA BjrC174". The record is from Rfam by way of RNAcentral. Lineage: Bacteria; Pseudomonadati; Pseudomonadota; Alphaproteobacteria; Hyphomicrobiales; Nitrobacteraceae.